UUCCUCUGGAUAAUUUACUUUUAUAACUGUAUUGGUAUUGUGAGAAAAUGUAGCUACCACAAUAUCACCAUGGAAACCUGUCUGGUCACCUAAAACCUGAACGAUGAGUUGAGGAUUUAAUGCCAGCAGCUAGCUCUGAUGGUCACUAAUUGUAAUCCAGAUGCCAGCCACACAAAAAUGCAGCAAGACCUCCUCCAAACCCUUCACAUGUGGUAGCUCCUGAGAUUAAAACAUCACUCAGAUAGACUGCCCCUCUGGAAAGCCCUUGGAGGAUAGUCUCUGCCACUCUUUGGAAAAUGGCACAAGCUGAAGAUAACCCAAAGGGCAAGUGAGCGUACUUAUACCGUCUUUUCAACCCAGAGUGAAGCAGGGGCAUCCCAUGACCUGGAGCAGGGACAGUGGCCAGCUGGCCCAGAGCAAAACAGAGACAGCCAAUAGCCCAAAGUGGUGUGGGAGUGGCCAGAGGACCUGCAGCGGGGACAGCGGUCAGCAGACCCGGCCCGGAGUGAAGAUGGCUACUGGGGUUGGGAACCGGUGGAGCCCUGUCAGACUACGU
Molecule: non-coding RNA, 556 nt
Organism: Chiloscyllium plagiosum (whitespotted bambooshark)
Lineage: Eukaryota; Metazoa; Chordata; Chondrichthyes; Orectolobiformes; Hemiscylliidae
Source: RefSeq, a predicted model, not a curated record